RNAcentral lists this small RNA (2600 nucleotides) under Pongo abelii (Sumatran orangutan). RNAcentral describes it as "retained intron". The record is from RNAcentral. Lineage: Eukaryota; Metazoa; Chordata; Mammalia; Primates; Hominidae.
GAAGGCCCAGAGACCAGCAGAACGGCAUCCCAGCCACGACAGCCACUUUGCUCUGUCUGCUCUCCGCCACGGCCCUGCUCUGUUCCCUGGGACACCCCUGCCCCCACCUCCUCAGGCUGCCUGAUCUGCCCAGCUUUCCUCUGGAUUCCGGCCUCUGGUCAUCCCUUCCCACCCUCUCUCCAAGGCCCUCUCCUGGUCUCCCUUCUUCUAGAUCCCCUUCCUCCACCUCCCUCUCUGCAGAACUUCUCCUUUGCCCCCCACCCCCCGUCACUGCCCCCUUUCCUUUUCCGACCUCCUUUUGGAGGGCUCAGCGCUGCCCAGACCCUAGGAGAGAUGUGGGAGGCUCAGUUCCUGGGCUUGCUGUUUCUGCAGCCGCUUUGGGUGGCUCCAGGUAAAACGGGGAUGGCGGGAGGGUUGACCUCCAACCCCACAGGAGGGGACCAGCAGGGAUCUCUGUGGCCACAAAGGUCCUGAGGUCCUUAGCUCUGUGGUGGAUUCUUCUAAUCCCUUUCUUGGGCAGUCCUUCCACCCCGAAAGCCUCUCUGGGCAGAGAAGAAACAGAAACCCGAGUUCUUCCUGCACCCUGUUUCUCCCUCGGGAAACUCCCAGGCUCCUUCUCUACCCCUGCCUCUCGGCUCACGCCCCCUCCCCUCGGCCUCUCUUUUGCUCACCUAGUGAAGCCUCUCCAGCCAGGGGCUGAGGUCCCGGUGGUUUGGGCCCAGGAGGGGGCUCCUGCCCAGCUCCCCUGCAGCCCCACAAUCCCCCUCCAGGAUCUCAGCCUUCUGAGAAGAGCAGGGGUCACUUGGCAGCAUCAGCCAGACAGUGGCCCGCCCGCUCCCGCCCCCGGCCAUCCCCUGGCCCCCGGCCCUCACCCGGCGGCGCCCUCCUGGGGGCCCAGGCCCCGCCGCUACACGGUGCUGAGCGUGGGUCCCGGAGGUCUGCGCAGCGGGAGGCUGCCCCUGCAGCCCCGCGUCCAGCUGGAUGAGCGCGGCCGGCAGCGCGGGGACUUCUCGCUAUGGCUGCGCCCAGCCCGGCGCGCGGACGCCGGCGAGUACCGCGCCGCGGUGCACCUCAGGGACCGCGCCCUCUCCUGCCGCCUCCGUCUGCGCCUGGGCCAGGCCUCGAUGACUGCCAGCCCCCCAGGGUCUCUCAGAACCUCCGACUGGGUCAUUCUGAACUGCUCCUUCAGCCGCCCUGACCGCCCAGCCUCUGUGCAUUGGUUCCGGAACCGGGGCCAGGGCCGAGUCCCUGUCCGGGAGUCCCCCCAUCACCACUUAGCGGAAAGCUUCCUCUUCCUGCCCCAAGUCAGCCCCAUGGACUCUGGGCCCUGGGGCUGCAUCCUCACUUACAGAGAUGGCUUCAAUGUCUCCAUCAUGUAUAACCUCACUGUUCUGGGUCUGGAGCCCCCAACUCCCUUGACAGUGUACGCUGGAGCAGGUUCCAGGGUGGAGCUGCCCUGCCGCCUGCCUCCUGGUGUGGGGACCCCAUCUUUCCUCACUGCCAGGUGGACUCCUCCUGAGGGAGGCCCUGACCUCCUGGUGACUGGAGACAAUGGCGACUUUACCCUUCGACUAGAGGAUGUGAGCCAGGCCCAGGCUGGGACCUACACCUGCCAUAUCCAUCUGCAGGGACAGCAGCUCAGUGCCACUGUCACAUUGGCAAUCAUCACAGUGACUCCCAAAUCCUUUGGGUCACCUGGAUCCCUGGGGAAGCUGCUUUGUGAGGUGACUCCAGUAUCUGGACAAGAACGCUUUGUGUGGAGCCCUCUGGACACCCCAUCCCAGAGGAGUUUCUCAGGACCUUGGCUGGAGGCACAGGAGGCCCAGCUCCUUUCCCAGCCUUGGCAAUGCCAGCUGUACCGGGGGGAGAGGCUUCUCGGAGCAGCAGUAUACAUCACAGAGCUGUCUAGCCCAGGUGCCCAACGCUCUGGGAGAGCCCCAGGUGCCCUCCAAGCAGGCCACCUCCUGCUGUUUCUCAUCCUUGGUAUCCUUUCUCUGCUCCUUUUGGUGACUGGAGCCUUUGGCUUUCACCUUUGGAGAAGACAGGUGAGCCAGGGACAUGCCAACCCCACCCCCCAGCAGCUCCAGCUCUUCCAUCCUCAGAGUGCUGAUGGCACCCCUUCCUCAGGAAGGUGACCAAAUGGGACCCUGAACUUGCCCUCAGAGCCCCCCUUCUUCAUAAACCUCUCACUCCAGGGACGGCUUGUGCCUGGGUAGGCUGGAAGGGGGGUUGAGAGAAAGCCAGGACCAGAUGGGGAGGGCAGGGGGACUGAGAAAAAAUAGAUGGACUCAGUGUCCCUCCUCAUCCGUUUCCCUUCAUCCUUCUCCUUCCACUCUCCGUCUCUCUCUCCAUCUCUUCUCACAGUGGCGACCAAGAAGAUUUUCUGCCUUAGAGCAAGGGAUUCACCCUCCGCAGGCUCAGAGCAAGAUAGAGGAGCUGGAGCAAGAACCGGAGCUGGAGCCGGAGCCGGAACCAGAGCCCGAGCUGGGGCCGGAGCCCGAGCUGGGGCCCCAGCCCGAGCCGGAACAGCUCUGACCUGGAGCUGAGGCAGCCAGCAGAUCUCAGCAGCCCAGUCCAAAUAAACUCCCUGUCAGCAGCAA